RNAcentral lists this non-coding RNA (29 nucleotides) under Homo sapiens (human). Lineage: Eukaryota; Metazoa; Chordata; Mammalia; Primates; Hominidae. The record is from RNAcentral.
UGUGUGUGCGUGCAUGCGUGUCCGUGUGU